CAGCAGCCACGGGAAUACGUAGGGUGCGAGCGUUAAUCGGAAUUACUGGGCGUAAAGCGUGCGCAGGCGGUUGUGUAAGACAGGUGUGAAAUCCCCGGGCUUAACCUGGGAACUGCGCUUGUGACUGCACAGCUAGAGUAUGGCAGAGGGGGGUGGAAUUCCACGUGUAGCAGUGAAAUGCGUAGAGAUGUGGAGGAACACCGAUGGCGAAGGCAGCCCCCUGGGCCAAUACUGACGCUCAUGCACGAAAGCGUGGGGAGCAAACAGGAUUAGAUACCCCCGUAGUCCCUGUCUCUUAUAC
This 301-nucleotide ribosomal RNA is filed under the name uncultured bacterium. RNAcentral describes it as "partial 16S ribosomal RNA". It matches the Rfam family "Bacterial small subunit ribosomal RNA", at positions 509 to 807 of the family's 1533-position model. The record is from RNAcentral.